UAAGACUGAGAGGGCCUGCAGGAGGCAGAACAGCACUGAGGAGCCUGACGGGCCAGACGGAUUACCAGGACGUGGACCAACUGGCAAGUGUCUUCACUGACAUGUUCAACCUCUCCCUGUCUGAGUCUGUAAUACCAACAUGUUUCAAGCAGACCACUAUAGUCCCUGGGCCCAAGAACACGAAGAUCCACAGAUGAUGCAAUCUCCAUUGCACUCCACACUGCCCUUUCACACCUGGACUAGAGGAACACCUAUGUGAGAAAGCUAUUCAUUGACUACAGCUCAGCGUUCAACACCAUAGUACCCUCAAAGCUCAUCACUAAGCUAAGGACCCUGGGACUAAACACCUCCCUCUGCAACUGGAUCCUGGACUUCCUGACGGGCCGCCCCCAGGUGGUGAGGGUAGGUAACAACACAUCCGCCAUGCUGAUCUUCAACACGGGGGCCCCUCAGGGGUGCGUGCUCAGUCCCCUCCUGUACUCCCUGUUCACCCACGACUGCAUGGCCAGGCACGACUCCAACACCAUCAUUAAGUUUGCUGAUGACACAACAGUCGUAGGCCUGAUCACCGACAAUGACGAGACAGCCUAUAGGGAGGGGGUCAGAGACCUGGCCAUGUGGUGCCAGGACAAAAAACUCUCCCUCAAUGUGAUCAAGACAAAAAGAUGAUUGUGGACUACAGGAAAAAGAGGACCGAGCACGCCCCCAUUCUCAUCAACGGGGCUGCAGUGGAGCGGGUUGAGAGCUUCAAGUUCCUUGGUGUCCACAUCACCAACAAACUAACAUGGUCCAAGCACCCCACGACAGUCGUGAAGAGGGCACGACAAAACCGAAUGCUCCUCAGGAGACUGAAAAGAUUUGGCAUGGGUCCUCAGAUCCUCAAAAGGUUCUACAGCUGCACCAUCGAGAGCAUCCUGACUGGUUGCAUCACUGCCUGGUAUGGCAACUGCUCGGCCUCCGACCGCAAAGCACUACAGAGGGUAGUGCGAACGGACCAGUACAUCACUGGGGUCAAGCUGCCUGCCAUCCAGGACCUCUAUACCAGGCGGUGUCAGAGGAAGGCCCUAAAAAUUGUCAAAGAC
RNAcentral lists this long non-coding RNA (1082 nucleotides) under Salmo salar (Atlantic salmon). RNAcentral describes it as "lncRNA (ENSSSAG00000113178.1)". The record is from RNAcentral. Lineage: Eukaryota; Metazoa; Chordata; Actinopteri; Salmoniformes; Salmonidae.